GACGAACGCUUGUGGCGUGCUUAACACAUGCAAGUCGAACGGAAAGGCCCUGCUUUUGUGGGGUGCUCGAGUGGCGAACGGGUGAGUAACACGUGAGUAACCUGCCCUUGACUUUGGGAUAACUUCAGGAAACUGGGGCUAAUACCGGAUAGGAGCUCCUGCUGCAUGGUGGGGGUUGGAAAGUUUCGGCGGUUGGGGAUGGACUCGCGGCUUAUCAGCUUGUUGGUGGGGUAGUGGCUUACCAAGGCUUUGACGGGUAGCCGGCCUGAGAGGGUGACCGGCCACAUUGGGACUGAGAUACGGCCCAGACUCCUACGGGAGGCAGCAGUGGGGAAUAUUGCACAAUGGGCGGAAGCCUGAUGCAGCAACGCCGCGUGCGGGAUGACGGCCUUCGGGUUGUAAACCGCUUUCGCCUGUGACGAAGCGUGAGUGACGGUAAUGGGUAAAGAAGCACCGGCUAACUACGUGCCAGCAGCCGCGGUGAUACGUAGGGUGCGAGCGUUGUCCGGAUUUAUUGGGCGUAAAGGGCUCGUAGGUGGUUGAUCGCGUCGGAAGUGUAAUCUUGGGGCUUAACCCUGAGCGUGCUUUCGAUACGGGUUGACUUGAGGAAGGUAGGGGAGAAUGGAAUUCCUGGUGGAGCGGUGGAAUGCGCAGAUAUCAGGAGGAACACCAGUGGCGAAGGCGGUUCUCUGGGCCUUUCCUGACGCUGAGGAGCGAAAGCGUGGGGAGCGAACAGGCUUAGAUACCCUGGUAGUCCACGCUGUAAACGGUGGGUACUAGGUGUGGGGUCCAUUCCACGGGUUCCGUGCCGUAGCUAACGCUUUAAGUACCCCGCCUGGGGAGUACGGCCGCAAGGCUAAAACUCAAAGGAAUUGACGGGGCCCCGCACAAGCGGCGGAGCAUGCGGAUUAAUUCGAUGCAACGCGUAGAACCUUACCUGGGUUUGACAUGGAUCGGGAGUGCUCAGAGAUGGGUGUGCCUCUUUUGGGGUCGGUUCACAGGUGGUGCAUGGCUGUCGUCAGCUCGUGUCGUGAGAUGUUGGGUUAAGUCCCGCAACGAACGCAACCCUUGUUCACUGUUGCCAGCACGUUAUGGUGGGGACUCAGUGGAGACCGCCGGGGUCAACUCGGAGGAAGGUGGGGAUGACGUCAAGUCAUCAUGCCCCUUAUGUCCAGGGCUUCACGCAUGCUACAAUGGCUGGUACAGAGAGUGGCGAGCCUGUGAGGGUGAGCGAAUCUCGGAAAGCCGGUCUCAGUUCGGAUUGGGGUCUGCAACUCGACCUCAUGAAGUCGGAGUCGCUAGUAAUCGCAGAUCAGCAACGCUGCGGUGAAUACGUUCCCGGG
This 1343-nucleotide ribosomal RNA is filed under the name uncultured bacterium. RNAcentral describes it as "16S ribosomal RNA". It matches the Rfam family "Bacterial small subunit ribosomal RNA", at positions 28 to 1378 of the family's 1533-position model. The record is from RNAcentral.